AGCGAACGCUGGCGGCAGGCCUAACACAUGCAAGUCGAACGAACCUUUCGGGGUUAGUGGCGGACGGGUGAGUAACACGUGGGAACGUGCCUUUAAGUUCGGAAUCACUCAGGGAAACUUGUGCUAAUACCGAAUGUGCUCUUCGGGGGAAAGAUUUAUCGCCUUUAGAGCGGCCCGCGUCUGAUUAGCUAGUUGGUUGAGGUAAUGGCUCACCAAGGCGACGAUCAGUAGCUGGUCUGAGAGGAUGAUCAGCCACAUUGGGACUGAGACACGGCCCAAACUCCUACGGGAGGCAGCAGUGGGGAAUCUUGCGCAAGGGGCGAAAGCCUGACGCAGCCAUGCCGCGUGAAUGAUGAAGGUCUUAGGAUUGUAAAAUUCUUUCACCGGGGACGAUAAUGACGGUACCCGGAGAAGAAGCCCCGGCUAACUUCGUG
This 434-nucleotide ribosomal RNA is filed under the name uncultured bacterium. RNAcentral describes it as "partial 16S ribosomal RNA". It matches the Rfam family "Bacterial small subunit ribosomal RNA", at positions 29 to 507 of the family's 1533-position model. The record is from RNAcentral.